This 467-nucleotide ribosomal RNA is filed under the name uncultured bacterium. RNAcentral's name for it is "partial 16S ribosomal RNA". It matches the Rfam family "Bacterial small subunit ribosomal RNA", at positions 28 to 507 of the family's 1533-position model. The record is from RNAcentral.
GAUGAACGCUGGCGGCGCGCCUAACACAUGCAAGUCGAACGAUUAAAGCACCUUCGGGUGUGUAUAAAGUGGCGAACGGCUGAGUAACACGUGGGCAACCUGCCCCUUUCAUUGGGAUAGCCACGGGAAACUGUGGAUAAUACCGAAUACUUCGAGACUUCCGCAUGGAAGACUCGAGAAAGCUCCGGCGGAGAGGGAUGGGCCCGCGGCCUGUUAGCUUGUUGGUGGGGUAACGGCCUACCAAGGCAAUGAUGGGUAGCUGGGUUGAGAGACCGACCAGCCAGAUUGGGACUGAGACACGGCCCAGACUCCUACGGGAGGCAGCAGUGGGGAAUCUUGCACAAUGGGCGAAAGCCUGAUGCAGCGACGCCGCGUGCGGGAUGAAGGCCUUCGGGUUGUAAACCGCUUUCAGCAGGGACGAGGCGAAAGUGACGGUACCUGCAGAAGAAGCCCCGGCUAACUACGUG